GAGUUUGAUCCUGGCUCAGGAUGAACGCUGGCGGCGUGCUUAACACAUGCAAGUCGAACGAACCUUCGGGUUAGUGGCGGACGGGUGAGUAACGCGUGGGAAUCUGCCCUCAGGAGGGGGAUAACGGCUGGAAACGGCCGCUAAUACCCCAUAUGCCGAGAGGUGAAAUGAAUUUCGCCUGAGGAUGAGCCCGCGUCUGAUUAGCUAGUUGGUGAGGUAAGAGCUCACCAAGGCAUCGAUCAGUAGCUGGUCUGAGAGGAUGAUCAGCCACACUGGGACUGAGACACGGCCCAGACUCCUACGGGAGGCAGCAGUGGGGAAUUUUCCGCAAUGGGCGAAAGCCUGACGGAGCAGCGCCGCGUGAGGGAUGAAGGCCUCUGGGCUGUAAACCUCUUUUCUCAAGGAAGAAGAUCUGACGGUACUUGAGGAAUAAGCCACGGCUAAUUCCGUGCCAGCAGCCGCGGUAAUACGGGAGUGGCAAGCGUUAUCCGGAAUUAUUGGGCGUAAAGCGUCCGCAGGCGGCCCUUCAAGUCUGCUGUUAAAAAGUGGAGCUUAACUCCAUCAUGGCAGUGGAAACUGUUGGGCUUGGGUGUGGUAGGGGCAGAGGGAAUUCCCGGUGUAGCGGUGAAAUGCGUAGAUAUCGGGAAGAACACCAGUGGCGAAGGCGCUCUGCUGGGCCAUAACUGACGCUCAUGGACGAAAGCCAGGGGAGCGAAAGGGAUUAGAUACCCCUGUAGUCCUGGCCGUAAACGACGAACACUAGGUGUCGGGGGAAUCGACCCCCUCGGUGUCGUAGCCAACGCGUUAAGUGUUCCGCCUGGGGAGUACGCACGCAAGUGUGAAACUCAAAGGAAUUGACGGGGGCCCGCACAAGCGGUGGAGUAUGUGGUUUAAUUCGAUGCAACGCGAAGAACCUUACCAGGGUUUGACAUCCUGCGAACCUCUUGGAAACGAGAGGGUGCCUUCGGGAACGCAGUGACAGGUGGUGCAUGGCUGUCGUCAGCUCGUGUCGUGAGAUGUUGGGUUAAGUCCCGCAACGAGCGCAACCCACGUCUUUAGUUGCCAGCAUUUAGUUGGGCACUCUAGAGAGACCGCCGGUGAUAAACCGGAGGAAGGUGUGGAUGACGUCAAGUCAUCAUGCCCCUUACAUCCUGGGCUACACACGUACUACAAUGCUACGGACAAAGAGCAGCAAGUUCGCGAGGACAAGCAAAUCUCAUAAACCGUGGCUCAGUUCAGAUCGUAGGCUGCAACUCGCCUACGUGAAGGAGGAAUCGCUAGUAAUCGCAGGUCAGCAUACUGCGGUGAAUACGUUCCCGGGCCUUGUACACACCGCCCGUCACACCAUGGAAGUUGGCCACGCCCGAAGCCGUUACUCCAACCCUCGGGAGGAGGACGUCGAAGGUGGGGCUGAUGACUGGGGUGAAGUCGUAACAAGGUAGCCGUA
Molecule: ribosomal RNA, 1447 nt
Filed under: uncultured bacterium
Lineage: Bacteria
Description: bacterial SSU rRNA
Rfam family: Bacterial small subunit ribosomal RNA
Source: RNAcentral